Molecule: ribosomal RNA, 313 nt
Filed under: uncultured delta proteobacterium
Lineage: Bacteria; Deltaproteobacteria
Description: bacterial SSU rRNA
Rfam family: Bacterial small subunit ribosomal RNA
Source: RNAcentral
AAGCGUUGUUCGGAAUUAUUGGGCGUAAAGGGCGUGUAGGCGGUCCGUUAAGUCUGAUGUGAAAGCCCCGGGCUCAACCUGGGAAGUGCAUUGGAUACUGGCGGACUUGAGUACGGGAGAGGGCAGUGGAAUUCCCAGUGUAGGAGUGAAAUCCGUAGAUAUUGGGAGGAACACCGGUGGCGAAGGCGGCUGCCUGGACCGAUACUGACGCUGAGACGCGAAAGCGUGGGGAGCAAACAGGAUUAGAUACCCUGGUAGUCCACGCCGUAAACGAUGAGUACUAGGUGUUGCGGGUAUUGACCCCUGCAGUGCC